GAAUUCGCCCUUAGAGUUUGAUCCUGGCUCAGGAUGAACGUUGGCGGUGUGCCUAAUACAUGCAAGUCGAACGGUGACGAUUUUGUAGCAAUACGAAUGAAAUCAUAGUGGCGAACGGGUGAGUAACGCGUUGGUGAUCUGCCUCGAAGUGUGGAAUAACUUCCCGAAAGGGUAGCUAAUACCGCAUAGUCUCUCAAGGUUUAGAAAAUUGAGAGUAAAGGAUUUAUUCGCUUCGAGAGGAGCCUGCGUCCCAUCAGCUAGUUGGUAGGGUAAUAGCCUACCAAGGCAAUGACGGGUAGGGGACCUGAGAGGGUGGCCCCCCACAAUGGAACUGAAACACGGUCCAUACACCUACGGGUGGCAGCAGUAGGGAAUAUUAGAAAUGGGCGAAAGCCUGAUCUAGCAACACCGCGUGUGCGAUGAAGGCCUUCGGGUUGUAAAGCACUUUUUGGAGGGAAUAGGAAGGAAGGUACCUCCAGAAUAAGUCUCGGCUAACUACGUGCCAGCAGCCGCGGUAACACGUAGGAGGCAAACGUUAUCCGGAUUCACUGGGCGUAAAGCGCGUGUAGGUGGUUCUGUAAGUAGGGCGUGAAAGCUCCCGGCUCAACUGGGAGAGGCCGUACUAAACUGCAGAGCUAGAGGAUGGUAGAGGGAGAUGGAAUUCCAGGUGUAGUGGUGAAAUGCGCAGAUAUCUGGAGGAACACCAGUGGCGAAGGCGGCCUCCUGGACCAUUCCUGACACUCAGACGCGAAAGCUAGGGUAGCAAACGGAAUUAGAGACUCCGGUAGUCCUAGCCCUAAACGAUGCAGACUAGGCGUCGGCGGUUUAAUCACCGUCGGUGUCCAAGCUAACGCGAUAAGUCUGCCGCCUGAGGACUACGGCCGCAAGGCUAAAACUCAAAGGAAUUGACGGGUCCCCGCACAAGCAGCGGAGCGUGUGGUUUAAUUCGAUGCUCCGCGAAGAACCUUACCUGGGUUUGACAUGCAGGUGAAUAUGGUAGAGAUAUCAUAGUCCUUCGGGACACCUGCACAGGUGGUGCAUGGUUGUCGUCAGCUCGUGUCGUGAGAUGUUGGGUUAAGUCCCGCAACGAGCGCAACCCCCGUUGUUAGUUGCCAUCAUUAAGUUGGGCACUCUAACGAGACUGCCGGUGACAAAUCGGAGGAAGGUGGGGAGGACGUCAAAUCAUCAUGCCCCUUAUGUCCUGGGCUACACACGUACUACAAUGGCUAUAACAGCAGGGAGGUAAGGAGUAAUCCGGAGCGAAUCCUCAAAAAUAGUCCCAGUUCGGAUUGUGGGGUGAAACUCGCCCACACGAAGUCGGAAUUGCUAGUAAUGGCAGGUCAGCAUACUGCCGUGAAUAAGUUCCCGGGCCUUGUACACACCGCCCGUCA
This 1391-nucleotide ribosomal RNA is filed under the name uncultured bacterium. Its description in RNAcentral is "bacterial SSU rRNA". It matches the Rfam family "Bacterial small subunit ribosomal RNA". The record is from RNAcentral.